This is a long non-coding RNA of Chelonia mydas (Green sea turtle), 664 nucleotides long. RefSeq lists it as uncharacterized. NCBI's taxonomy places the organism in Eukaryota, Metazoa, Chordata, Testudines, Cheloniidae. The transcript has 3 exons. The record is from RefSeq and is a predicted model, not a curated record.
GAGAGAGGAGGACCUGGCUGCUGGGGAAGCUGAGGAGGGUACCCAGAGCAGAGCUAGGGAAGCGCAGAGGGAGCUGAGGAGCUUCAGCCUAGCAAAGCCCCAGGAUGCAGGUCAAGGUAUCGGGUUUUAGACAUGCUAAUCAGUGGAGCCUGAUCCUGAAGGCAUGCUCUGAGGACAUCUACAUGAUCAAGCCCUGCUGGCAACCAAGAGAAUGGGAGUGGGGAACACCUAGUCUGAGACUCCCGCUUUGGAACAGCGAGGGCUUCAGUUUGUGCUAGAGCUCCAAGCAGCUGAUCAGCUGUGAGGUUUCUCAAUUUUCAUAUCCUAUUUGUUCAGCUUACAAGUAAAAAAUGUUCAAACUUUGAGCUCUGCAAACUUGAUCUGGGAGUCAAGAUGGGUUCUACAGGACUUCUGUAUCAUCAUCAACAAUAGAUUCCAGAUGCCAUAUUCUACCUUAGUUAUACCUGUGCAGGCCCACUGUUUUCUAAUUGUGUGCUCCGCUACAUCUGUGAAACCUUAUUGUUACAUCAGUGCAAUUCCAUUAGUGCAAAAUUUGAUCAGGUAACUGGAACUUAAUGAAAAAUGUGGUCUCUUAUUGUGCGAGCGAAAACAAAAUCCAGCUAUGAAGUGCUAACCGGAAUAAAAACCAGCUACAUCCAUGCCU